Molecule: long non-coding RNA, 229 nt
Filed under: Mytilus galloprovincialis (Mediterranean mussel)
Lineage: Eukaryota; Metazoa; Mollusca; Bivalvia; Mytilida; Mytilidae
Source: RNAcentral
CUCUAAUAUAAUAGACAAUAGAUGUAUAAUAUAAAGUUGUACAAAUAACCUUGUUGUUCUUCAUCUUGAAGGUCAAUGGCAAUAAAAUACAGCCUUUGAUCCUGGUCCAGUUUCAGCUCUGCGUUGGCAUCGAAACAGUCAAUCCAAGUCUUAAAUUUUGUCUCUACGUCUUUGACAUUUUUUUUUAAAGCAUUAUAGUAUCUUCCCACUUAAUAUGGCUACUUUUUCC